This 119-nucleotide ribosomal RNA is filed under the name Pteropus vampyrus (large flying fox). The record is from RNAcentral. Lineage: Eukaryota; Metazoa; Chordata; Mammalia; Chiroptera; Pteropodidae.
GUCUAUGGCCAUACCACCCUGAACAAGUCCCAUACCAUCUGAUCUUGGAAGCUAAGCAGGGUCAGGCCUGGUUAGUGCUUGGAUGGGAGAUCACCUAGGAAGAUCAGGUGUGGUAGGCG